CAGAUAACACUGACAAUUUCAAUACAAUAGUGUAUAUAUUUAUGCAUAUAUAUAUAUAUAUAUAUAUAUAUAUAUAUAUAUAUAUAUAUGCAUAAAUAUAUACACUAUUGUAUUGAAAUUGUCAGUGUUAUCUG
Paramuricea clavata is the source of this 134-nucleotide non-coding RNA. Lineage: Eukaryota; Metazoa; Cnidaria; Anthozoa; Malacalcyonacea; Plexauridae. The record is from the annotation of a GenBank genome assembly.